Long non-coding RNA from Osmerus eperlanus (European smelt), 472 nucleotides. RefSeq lists it as uncharacterized. Lineage: Eukaryota; Metazoa; Chordata; Actinopteri; Osmeriformes; Osmeridae. The transcript is spliced from 2 exons. The record is from RefSeq and is a predicted model, not a curated record.
CACUGUAACUAUCAUCAUCACCACCACUCAUCAUCACGAGUAGAUUUAUCAUAAACACCAUCAUCAUUAUUAUCCUCAUCAUAACCAUCUGCUACAGUAAAGUCCUGUGUGUACUGACCAGUGUGUGUGUGUCCUAUAGGUGUGACAGAGCAGUGGAUCUAUGAGCUCCAAGGAGUUCCUGAGGAUUUACAGCCAGGAUGCUACACCACAGAUACACAGCAGCAACAGGGUGUGUCCCUGGUAAAGUCUUCACCUGCAGGACCCUGGUUGAGAUGCAGCAAUGCCUCAAAUAUAUGGUUUGGCCCCACAAAUGCUCAAAUUAGCUUCCACACGCAUACACGCAUACUUCCUGCCUCAUGUCAUGUAUGUGUCGCAUCGAGGAGGCAGGGAGCGCUUCCCUUAGAUCAUCCACUCUGCCAAAGUCAAACCAUUUCCAUGUCAUGGUAUCAAUAAAUGCUCAAAUCUAAUAUGU